GGUCACGUACAGCAACUUUGAGCUCAACGUGGCUCACACUCUGAUUUUGCCCUUCACUUGGGUAAACACUGAGGAUGUUCAGAAAAGGCCACGGUGUUUGGGUUCUUUUGCAGAGUUAGAAGACCUGGCUGCAUGUCCUCCAGUUCCUUCCUGGCAAUGCCUAGAUGGAGUGGAGCUGUGUUGCUGCCCAGUGCCGCCUCUCCCUGGAGCUUCACAUGAGGACCCCUUCACUACUGACCGGAACUGUGUUCCCUGCAGGAACAACUGCCAUAAUUUCCACCUCAGAGGCUCCAGACCUCACAGACCUCCAAGCGCUGUCCGUAGGAGUGUGGUGCACCGUGACAGCCUGCAAAGGAAAGGCAGAGGGGACUCCAACCCAGUGCAGCUCCUGCUGCAUUAGCAUGGAGAUGAUUUGCCCACGGGCUUCCGGCUCACUGAGGAUGAGCAGGCCUGUCUGCUGCCCCCUGCACUGUCAUCCCCGGCUGUUCAGAGGCAAAGCUGUGGAUCCCGCCCACCACUUAGUGUCAUCCUCAGAACAUUACAGUUACUGGGCUCUGCGUUUGGCCAUCAAUUCGACUUGUUCUGCUUCUAAGAUGGACAGUCACAGCAUGACAUCCCGACAGACUCAGAGGGCCUGGGAAGAACGGAGCAUGUUUGUGGCUGUAAAAAUGAACACCUUGGAUACUUUGUUCCUGAUGAGGCAUAUUUUUGUAACCUUGUUCUGGAUUAUAAUUCUUCAGCUAGAUGCAAGAAAAAGCUUGAGAUUUUCAACAAAGUCUUUAGAGUCAUUUGGAAUGAGAAGAAUUGAGUUUGAGCCCUUACUGUACAAUUUUACUGUCAAGUAACAC
This is a long non-coding RNA of Chinchilla lanigera (long-tailed chinchilla), 848 nucleotides long. The record is from Ensembl. NCBI's taxonomy places the organism in Eukaryota, Metazoa, Chordata, Mammalia, Rodentia, Chinchillidae.